GGAGAUGUGGCUCAGUGGUAGAGCACUUACCUGGCAUGCAUGAAGCCCUGGAUUCCAUCUCUAGCAUCACAA
This 72-nucleotide transfer RNA is filed under the name Ictidomys tridecemlineatus (thirteen-lined ground squirrel). RNAcentral describes it as "Spermophilus tridecemlineatus (thirteen-lined ground squirrel) tRNA". It matches the Rfam family "tRNA". Rfam says of the family: Transfer RNA (tRNA) molecules are approximately 80 nucleotides in length. Their secondary structure includes four short double-helical elements and three loops (D, anti-codon, and T loops). Further hydrogen bonds mediate the characteristic L-shaped molecular structure. tRNAs have two regions of fundamental functional importance: the anti-codon, which is responsible for specific mRNA codon recognition, and the 3' end, to which the tRNAs corresponding amino acid is attached (by aminoacyl-tRNA synthetases). tRNAs cope with the degeneracy of the genetic code in two manners: having more than one tRNA (with a specific anti-codon) for a particular amino acid; and 'wobble' base-pairing, i.e. permitting non-standard base-pairing at the 3rd anti-codon position. The record is from Rfam by way of RNAcentral. Lineage: Eukaryota; Metazoa; Chordata; Mammalia; Rodentia; Sciuridae.